CACGAGUCCCUCACCCAGUGCCCGCGGCCACCACACCAGGAGGCCACAGGUGCCUGCGCACCGCGGGUGGGAGCCCGGGCGGGCCCGGACACUUCCCCGCCACCGCAGCAUCUCCUCCGCGCCUCCAGUGCCACGUGGAGCCCGAGGGCACGACCGGCACCCACGGCCAGCUUCGCCCGCGGCUUCUCCCCGAGACCUCGCGUCUCCCGAGCGGACACUGCUGCCUCCGCCUCAGGAACGCCACUGGCCCCGCCACCCCCGCCCAGCACUUACUGCCCGUGUGCACCCAGAACGGCACCGUGCCGUCCGCCUGGAUCAGCGAAGGCCGCAAUUCCACAGGCUCUUUUCAGUUCAUUUGCAGAGUAGUCGGAAGUCCCGCAGGAAAAUCCACACUGUUUCUCCCAACAUGCGAGGCCAACCUUACGCAAAGGGAGAAAUGAGCAGGACAAAUCCUGAGGCUUCCCUUGCUCCAGGGCCAAAGCUCUUCUUUGGAGUUCUUCUGGAGAAUGGCAGGGCUGGUCCCACCUGAAGAGGGGCAUUUCCUGCAGGAGAGGAGCUGUGCCUGCAGCGUCCUGCCCCUGGCAUGCAGCGUGCCAAUCACACAUCCCGGGAUGGACGCUGGGGCGCUUGGAUACUGCUGGCACAGAGGCCGCUAAAGGGCUGCUCUGAACAGACACGUGGAGAUGCUUCAGCCUGGACAAAGGCCACAGACAGCCCAAAAGCAAGGAACAGCUGACAUUACAUAGCGAUGGUGGCAUGGGCUGUUUGCAGAGGGGCUCAGACAGCAACUCCUGCUUCUGAGCAUCCACAACGGCUGCCAGAUGUGCCCCGGCCACCCCAAAUCCCCUUCCUACCAGCUGGGGGACAUCAUCCAUCAGCAGCAUUAAAGCCAAGGUUAAGAUGGGCACAGCUCUAAGUGGCCGAUAGCUUGGGGUUCAUCUCAGAAGGAGAGACUUCAUUUGGGGUUACAGAGAAGACGUGCCUUCCCUGCAGGGAGCAGUAAAGAAAAUCCACAGCCUCUUGAAGAGGCUUAAAUGUGAGUAAGUUUUUGUAGCCACUGAUGCUGUUGAGGAAGAGAUUGAACUGCUCAAGAAACUGCUGCCCGAGAUGGUGAGGUUUGAAGCCUCUCUGGAGGAGCUGGAAC
Long non-coding RNA from Parus major (Great Tit), 1144 nucleotides. RefSeq lists it as uncharacterized. The transcript has 6 exons. NCBI's taxonomy places the organism in Eukaryota, Metazoa, Chordata, Aves, Passeriformes, Paridae. The record is from RefSeq and is a predicted model, not a curated record.